This 253-nucleotide ribosomal RNA is filed under the name uncultured bacterium. RNAcentral's name for it is "partial 16S ribosomal RNA". It matches the Rfam family "Bacterial small subunit ribosomal RNA", at positions 524 to 776 of the family's 1533-position model. The record is from RNAcentral.
GACAGAGGGUGCAAACGUUGUUCGGAUUUACUGGGCGUAAAGCGCGUGUAGGCGGCUUUGCAAGUCGGAUGUGAAAGCCCUGGGCUCAACCCAGGAAGUGCACUCGAAACUCCCGAGCUCGAGUCCUGGAGAGGAAGGCGGAAUUCUCGGUGUAGAGGUGAAAUUCGUAGAUAUCGAGAGGAACAUCGGUGGCGAAGGCGGCCUUCUGGACAGUGACUGACGCUGAGACGCGAAAGCGUGGGGAGCAAACAGG